GUAAGACCCUGUGAACUGAAACAUCUAAGUAGCAGGAGGAAAAGAAAGAAAACUCGAUUUUCUAAGUAGCGGCGAGCGAAAAGAAAACAGCCCAACUCAAUAAGGAUCAUAUUUAAUUAGCAGAAUCAUUUGGGAAGAUGAACCAAAGAAAGUGACAGUCUUGUACGCGACAGUUAAAUAUGGACAGAGUGAAAGUAGCACCGGACACGAGGAAUCCGUUGUGAAGAUAGGGGGCCCAUCCCCUAAGGCUAAAUACUAACAUGUGACCGAUAGUGAACAAGUACCGUGAGGGAAAGGUGAAAAGAACCCCGAAAGGGGAGUGAAAUAGAACCUGAAACCUAGCGCCUACAAGCAGACAGAGGACAAAAGUCUGAUGUCGUACCUUUUGUAGAAUGGGCCAGCGAGUUAUUCUAAGCGGCAAGAUUAAGUAUUUAAGAUACGAAGUCAAAGCGAAAGCGAGUCUUAAUAGGGCCAAAGUCGAUUAGAAUAGACCCGAAACCGGGUGAUCUAUCCAUGACCAGAGUGAAGGUGAAGUAAAAUUCACUGGAGGCUCGAACCGGGUACGGUUUAAAACGUAUCGGAUGAGUUGUGGAUAGGGGUGAAAAGCCAAACGAACUCGGAUAUAGCUGGUUCUCCUCGAAAUAGCUUUAGGGCUAGCCUUUGACUAAAGAUUUUAGGAGGUAGAGCACUGAAUGGUCUAGGGCGGUUAACCGUACCGAAACCUAUCAAACUCCGAAUGCCAAAAAAUCAGGUCAAGGAGUCAGACUUAGAGGGAUAAGCUUCUAAGUCGAAAGGGAAACAGCCCAGACCGACAGCUAAGGUCCCCAAAUCUGGAUUAAGUGGAAAAGGAUGUGAAUCUACUAAGACAACCAGGACGUUGGCUUAGAAGCAGCCAUGCAUUUAAAGAAUGCGUAAUAGCUCACUGGUCAAGUGGGUUUGCGCCGAAAAUGAACGGGGCUAAAAUCCAGUACCGAAGCUUCGGAUUGAUAGAGAAAUUAAAUCUAUCGCAUAAAGAGGAAAAAGGAAAGAUAAAACUAAACUAGGAAAUAUUGUAACAACAAUUAAUCAAGAUAAACGAGUUAUA
This 1084-nucleotide ribosomal RNA is filed under the name Anaerococcus degeneri. RNAcentral's name for it is "partial 23S ribosomal RNA". It matches the Rfam family "Bacterial large subunit ribosomal RNA", at positions 178 to 1223 of the family's 2925-position model. Lineage: Bacteria; Bacillati; Bacillota; Tissierellia; Tissierellales; Peptoniphilaceae. The record is from RNAcentral.